CAGCAGCCGCGGUAAUACGAGGGGGGCAAGCGUUGUUCGGAAUUAUUGGGCGUAAAGGGUGCGUAGGCGGCUUGACAAGUCUUGUGUGAAAUCUAUGGGCUCAACCCAUAGUCUGCACGGGAAACUGUCGGGCUUGAGUAUUGGAGAGGUGAGUGGAAUUUCCGGUGUAGCGGUGAAAUGCGUAGAUAUCGGAAGGAACACCUGUGGCGAAAGCGGCUCACUGGACCAUUUCUGACGCUGAUGCACGAAAGCUAGGGGAGCAAACAGGAUUAGAUACCCCCGUAGUCCCUGUCUCUUAUAC
Molecule: ribosomal RNA, 301 nt
Filed under: uncultured bacterium
Lineage: Bacteria
Description: partial 16S ribosomal RNA
Rfam family: Bacterial small subunit ribosomal RNA
Source: RNAcentral